CACCUAAUUUCCAGUUGGAAAUGAUGAUAAACCUAAAAAUUUUCCAUUUCUUUAUAAAAGUACAAUGUGCUCAUUAAAAUAAUUUGCAGAUUGCACAGAUGUUCAAAUAAGAGAACUCCUGGAUCCCAUCAUUCAGUGAUUGGCUAGGAAGCCCUAUUUGGCAGCCUUUGCCCAUCUCAUUUGGCAACUCUUGAGCCUGCAUCAUUCAGAGAUAUAAGAAGCUUAGAAGGUGGAAAACUGAAUUUCUUUGAUUUUCCAGACAUCCUUGCUGAAAAAACAUAUCACCACAAGCAAUUUGAAGGACACUGGCUAAUAAAAUCUUUGGAAAAGAAAAGGAAACCAUAUGAAUGCCAAGGAAAGAAGCACAGAAACAAUCUUCGAAAUGUCAGACUUUAAGAUUAAUGUACUAAGAUGAAUUUGAAAGCUAAGUAAAUAGAAGGUAAAUAGAGAUAGCUAAUUUUCCAUUUACAUGGAUAAAGAGACGUAAUAUACCCGUGGAUCAUUUUAAAAUGAGCAUACAUGUUGGUAUUUUAUAGAUAAUAAAAUUUAACCUAUUGUAUCUAUAGUUUCUAUG
This 574-nucleotide long non-coding RNA is filed under the name Vulpes vulpes (red fox). RNAcentral's name for it is "lncRNA (ENSVVUG00000004107.1)". The record is from RNAcentral. Lineage: Eukaryota; Metazoa; Chordata; Mammalia; Carnivora; Canidae.